This 253-nucleotide ribosomal RNA is filed under the name uncultured bacterium. RNAcentral describes it as "partial 16S ribosomal RNA". It matches the Rfam family "Bacterial small subunit ribosomal RNA", at positions 524 to 776 of the family's 1533-position model. The record is from RNAcentral.
UACGGAGGGUGCAAGCGUUAUCCGGAUUCACUGGGUUUAAAGGGUGCGUAGGCGGGUAAGUAAGUCCGUGGUGAAAUCUCUGAGCUUAACUCAGAAACUGCCGUGGAUACUAUUUGCCUUGAAUAUUGUGGAGGUGAGCGGAAUAUGUCAUGUAGCGGCGAAAUGCUUAGAUAUGACAUAGAACACCAAUUGCGAAGGCAGCUCACUACACAAUGAUUGACGCUGAGGCACGAAAGCGUGGGGAUCAAACAGG